GGCUCGGUAGCUUAGUUGGUAAAGCACUUGUCUAUCGAAUAAGGGUCGUGAGUUCAAAUCUCACCUGAGCUG
This is a non-coding RNA of Aedes albopictus (Asian tiger mosquito), 72 nucleotides long. NCBI's taxonomy places the organism in Eukaryota, Metazoa, Arthropoda, Insecta, Diptera, Culicidae. The record is from Rfam.